Molecule: long non-coding RNA, 1206 nt
Filed under: Sorghum bicolor (sorghum)
Lineage: Eukaryota; Viridiplantae; Streptophyta; Magnoliopsida; Poales; Poaceae
Description: long non-coding RNA (SBIC_LNC009806)
Source: RNAcentral
GUGCUUUUACUUACUAGUUGUGUAGGAGCUCCCCUGGUGUGCAAAGUACUAGUGGCAUAGGUUUGUGUGACCUUGCUUCUAUAAUUGGUUAGGUGAGCUCUUGCUAAGGUGGCACCUUGUUUGCUUGUUAGGAUCUUUUACAACGUGCUACUAAACAUAGAUACAUGGGUGUAGUCUUAGUUAGACUAAUAGUUUUAAUUCCGCACUUGUUUCGGUUAGCCAGCGUGUUAACUAUUUAGAAAGGACCAUUCACCCCUUUCUAGUCUGCAAUAUCGACCCUUCAGCCACUCCUCGCACAUGUGACUCCACCCUUCAUGAUUCAUGGAUGUCCAUGCUCAGAUGUAAUGAGCCAUGGACUGUUUGCUUGUUCACAUGUCAAAGUUACUCUUGGGUCCCUACCAAAAUUGUACCAUAUAAAUGUUGGAGAUUAGUUGCAAAUUAUAAAUUCUAGGGAACAAUUUUUGGAUGUGAUCCAUUGCAACUCAAAAACAAUUGAUGCAUGAGAUGGGGACCAAGUCCACCAUCAUAGAAAUCAUGCCACAGAGCCACAAAUACACAAAACUUAACCUAGGCAGUCAAAAUAUGUUUCUAGAGGCGGGCACUGUGUCUGCCUUGGAUAAGGGGUGUGUUAAUCGAUGUUUGAGAAGGCAGACACUGCGCCCAUCUAUGAAAGUCAAUGCUUUUACAGGUGGAUACAUUGCCUAUCUAUGAAAAUCAAUCGUAAAAAACAAAAAAAGAAAAACCCAUGGGCAAGCCGCUGAGCCCAUACAAGCCAUCAAUGCUUGGAUCCCCUAGCGACGAUGCCCUCCUUGCCAUGCCUCCCAUCGCCUGAGUUUGGGGCCCGACCUCCCACCGGCAGGCAGUGCAGGGCAUGGCCUCCUACCGUCAGAUCUGAAUUGGAGGGGGGUGGAGGGUGCCGCUGCUGGGGAAGACAACCGGAGAAGUGAGUAGAUGCUCCUGCUGCUGUUAUGUUAUAUAUACAGGCCUGAUAGAUGGAUUGGAUAUGGGCUUUGCUGGGCCUCAAUUUAUACUUCUUGUGACAAGACUUUUAGGAGGCCCACCACCAAAAAUGGCAUGUCUCCAUAAAUCCUUUUCAAGAUAUGGGCUUUAUUCCAAUGUUGUCCCGACCCCCAAUCAUAGCAGGAAACUCCUCAGCACAAUGGUCAUUUUAGUUGUUAUGGGGAUUGACUCUAGGAUGAAAUAGGC